CACUCCUACGGGAGGCAGCAGUGGGGAAUUUUGGACAAUGGGCGAAAGCCUAAUCCAGCAAUGCCGCGUGAGUGAAGAAGGCCUUCGGGUUGUAAAGCUCUUUUGUCAGGGAAGAAACGGUGAGAGCUAAUAUCUUUUGCUAAUGACGGUACCUGAAGAAUAAGCACCGGCUAACUACGUGCCAGCAGCCGCGGUAAUACGUAGGGUGCAAGCGUUAAUCGGAAUUACUGGGCGUAAAGCGUGCGCAGGCGGUUUUGUAAGUCUGAUGUGAAGUCCCCGGGCUCAACCUGGGAAUUGCAUUGGAGACUGCAAGGCUAGAAUCUGGCAGAGGGGGGUAGAAUUCCACGUGUAGCAGUGAAAUGCGUAGAUAUGUGGAGGAACACCGAUGGCGAAGGCAGCCCCCUGGGUCAAGAUUGACGCUCAUGCACGAAAGCGUGGGGAGCAAACAGGAUUAGAAACCCUGGUAGUCCCAUGA
This 475-nucleotide ribosomal RNA is filed under the name uncultured organism. RNAcentral describes it as "partial 16S ribosomal RNA". It matches the Rfam family "Bacterial small subunit ribosomal RNA", at positions 334 to 800 of the family's 1533-position model. The record is from RNAcentral.